RNAcentral lists this long non-coding RNA (213 nucleotides) under Capsella rubella. RNAcentral's name for it is "long non-coding RNA (CRUB_LNC004927)". Lineage: Eukaryota; Viridiplantae; Streptophyta; Magnoliopsida; Brassicales; Brassicaceae. The record is from RNAcentral.
GGAUAUGGUCCGUCGGAGUUCGUUCGUCGGAUUUGGUCCGUCGAUAUUGUUUGUUGUUGGAAUAAGAAAAAAAAAAGAUGAAGAUGAAGAAGAAGAGAGAUAAUGAAAGAAAAGAAAAUAAUUGUGUUUUGAGAUUUUCAUUGAGUAGAGGGAUAAGAUAGUCUUUUUACAUUGCCUCUAUGGCAUGUUUUGAAAGAAGUUGUGAAAAAUGGC